Molecule: long non-coding RNA, 2963 nt
Organism: Nerophis ophidion (straightnose pipefish)
Lineage: Eukaryota; Metazoa; Chordata; Actinopteri; Syngnathiformes; Syngnathidae
Exons: 7
Source: RefSeq, a predicted model, not a curated record
GUUCUUCACUGCUCCGUGUUUCUUCAUAUUCUAAAUAUUCUUCCUAAACGUCCCUAAAUACUUUGAAAGUUAACACAAUAAUACUGUGGAUAAAAGUGAUGUGUUAAUUAAUUUAGUUAAUUAAGUAGUAGCGCGUCGACCGUGUGAAAUGUUUGGUGGUAUUUACACCACACAGGAGCAGAUAUCAGUCCGCCAGAGAGCUGAGACCUGUGUGUUCUGUGUUUCCAACACAGAUUACCAAUAAAUAAGUAAAGGACGGCAUGGUGAAGUGUAUUUUGUUUAUUUUUUUAACAACGUUGACUAAUACUCUAUUAUUUUGAAGUAUCGCUUUUAUUUUGAAGAACCGGGUGUCCGGCGCAGGAAGUGUGGUGGCUCUAUUUUCCUUCGGACUUUUGAGUGGGAAGCCAGUUGAGUACAUAUUAGAUGCCCAGUGGAAAAACACCAAUGUAAAGCUGCAGCCAACAUCUAGAAAGCCAGAAGAGCUGAAGUUUACAACAUACCACUGCACCCAAAAGGCUUUAAAACGACGAGAGGUCGUUGAACAGAGACCCAUGAUAGAAAAAUUCAAAAACCGGUGACCUGCCCUGUUCCAGCAGAGUGAAAUCACUACAAAGCCACUACGGUCAAAGUUUACUUCACAACUGGACCACGUUUCACUCAAGCUGAUGCAGAUCUUCAAACGCAAAGGAGGAGUGAACAGGCAACGAAUCGAAGAAGUUCUGGCAAACAGAUUUGUGUGACAACAUUGACAUCAGGAGGGACUGAAACCUUGAGAAGCCUUGUUGUCCAUCUCAAAGAAGAUCCAGACACUUUGUUCAAUGAAUAUCUGGUCUCCGCCACUGAGGAUGCAGAAAGGGACAUUGCCCUCACAGUCAUGGGGAUAAACAUCAUUCAUGGAGAUGGCGAUGGCUUCACGGUGGCAGAGGGGGCGAGGGCGCAUAUGCAGGAGAAGGUGGGGACGUCCAAAUUCAUCCUCUGCAAAUUGGUGGAGAACUCAACGAUGCUGUCGAUCCACUCGCCGAAGCCCCGCACACAAUGGAGGCGGUCCCAGACGGAGCCGUCACAGAAUACCAGCUUCCCUUCACCUGGGUUGGACCUAGGACAAACCAGAAGGUGCAACAUCCACUCAGCGGGGUCAAGACUACACCUCGGACCAAUUGAACGUCCCUGGAGAAAUGAGUCUGUGCCUUUUGCAUGAAUGACAGCUAUGUGAAGCGUUACAACAGGGGUCACCAACGUGGUGCCCGUAAGGACCAGAUGAGUCAUACAUACACACAAACACACAUACAUACAUACGCACACACAUACAUACAUAAAUAUAUUCAUACAUACACACAUAAAUAUAUUCAUACAUACAUACGCACACACAUAGGUACAUAUGCACACACACACAUACAUACAUAAACACACACAUACAUACAUACAUGCAUACGCAUACAAACAUACAUAUAUACAGUACAUACAUAUUCAUACAUACAUACGCACACACAUACAUACAUAUAUACAUACAUAAGCACACACAUAGGUACAUAUGCACACACAUACUGUACAUAUGCACACAUACAUACAUACACACACAUACAUAGGUACAUAUGCACACACACACAUACAUACAUAAACACACACAUACAUACAUACAUGCAUACGCAUACAAACAUACAUAUAUACAUACAUAUUCAUACAUACAUACGCACACACAUACAUACAUAUAUACAUACAUAUGCACACAUACAUACAUACAUACACACACAUACAUAGGUACAUAUGCACACACAUGCAUACAUACAUACAUACGCACACACAUAGGUACAUAUGCACACACACACAUACAUACAUAUAUUCAUACAUACAUAUGCACACAUACAUACAUGUAUACACACACAUACAUACAUACGCACAUACAUACAUAUUCAUUCAUACAUACAUAUAUUCAUACAUACAUACGCACACACAUAGGUACAUAUGCCCACACACACACAUACAUACAUAAACACACACACACACAUACAUACAGUACAUACGCACACACAUACAAACAUACAUACAUACAUAUUCAUACAUACAUACGCACACACAUACAUACAUACAUACAUACAUAGGUACAUAUGCCCACACAUACUGUACAUAUGCCCACAUACAUACAUACAUGUAUACACACAUACUUACACACAUAAACACACACAUACAUACAUACGCACGCACACACAUACAUACAUCUUCAUACAUACAUACAUAUAUUCAUACAUACAUACGCACACACAUAGGUACAUACACACACAUAUAUACAUGUAUACACACACAUACAUACAUACAUGUAUACACACACAUACAUACAUAUAUUCAUACAUACAUACGCACACACAUAGGUACAUACACACACAUAUAUACAUGUAUACACACACAUACAUACAUACAUGUAUACACACACAUACAUACAUAUAUUCAUACAUACAUACGCACACACAUAGGUACAUACACACACAUAUAUACAUGUAUACACACACACGUACAUACAUGUAUACACACACAUACAUACAUAUAUUCAUACAUGCAUACGCACACACAUAGGUACAUACACACAUAUAUACAUGUAUACACACACAUACAUGUAUACACACACAUACAUACAUAUAUUCAUACAUACAUACGCACACACAUAGGUACAUAUGCACACAUACAUACAUACAUGUAUACACACACACAUACAUACAUGUAUACACACACAUACAUACAUACAUAAACACACACAUACAUACAUACAUACGCACAUAUGCUCAAAUAGCAGCACUUACCAGUGAGCUGCCAUUAUUUUUUAAAUUGUAUUUAUUUACUAGCAAGCUGGUCUCGCUUUGCUUGACAUUUUUAAUUCUAAGAGAGCCAAAACUCAAAGAGAAUUUGAAAAUCCAAGAAAAUAUUUGAAAGACUUGGUCUUCACUUGUUGAAAUAAAUUCAUUAUUUUUUUA